GCUGUAGUUCAGUUGGUUAGAGCGUCAGAUUGUGGUUCUGAAUGUCGUGGGUUCGAGUCCC
Molecule: transfer RNA, 61 nt
Filed under: uncultured Bacteroides sp.
Lineage: Bacteria; Pseudomonadati; Bacteroidota; Bacteroidia; Bacteroidales; Bacteroidaceae
Rfam family: tRNA
About the family: Transfer RNA (tRNA) molecules are approximately 80 nucleotides in length. Their secondary structure includes four short double-helical elements and three loops (D, anti-codon, and T loops). Further hydrogen bonds mediate the characteristic L-shaped molecular structure. tRNAs have two regions of fundamental functional importance: the anti-codon, which is responsible for specific mRNA codon recognition, and the 3' end, to which the tRNAs corresponding amino acid is attached (by aminoacyl-tRNA synthetases). tRNAs cope with the degeneracy of the genetic code in two manners: having more than one tRNA (with a specific anti-codon) for a particular amino acid; and 'wobble' base-pairing, i.e. permitting non-standard base-pairing at the 3rd anti-codon position.
Source: RNAcentral